This 1035-nucleotide ribosomal RNA is filed under the name Trichoderma lixii. RNAcentral describes it as "SSU rRNA". It matches the Rfam family "Eukaryotic small subunit ribosomal RNA", at positions 68 to 1114 of the family's 1831-position model. The record is from RNAcentral. Lineage: Eukaryota; Fungi; Ascomycota; Sordariomycetes; Hypocreales; Hypocreaceae.
AGCAUUAUACCGCGAAACUGCGAAUGGCUCAUUAUAUAAGUUAUCGUUUAUUUGAUAAUACUUUACUACUUGGAUAACCGUGGUAAUUCUAGAGCUAAUACAUGCUGAAAAUCCCGACUUCGGAAGGGAUGUAUUUAUUAGAUUAAAAACCAAUGCCCCUCGGGGCUCUCUGGUGAAUCAUGAUAACUAGUCGAAUCGACAGGCCUUGUGCCGGCGAUGGCUCAUUCAAAUUUCUUCCCUAUCAACUUUCGAUGUUUGGGUAUUGGCCAAACAUGGUGGCAACGGGUAACGGAGGGUUAGGGCUCGACCCCGGAGAAGGAGCCUGAGAAACGGCUACUACAUCCAAGGAAGGCAGCAGGCGCGCAAAUUACCCAAUCCCGACACGGGGAGGUAGUGACAAUAAAUACUGAUACAGGGCUCUUUUGGGUCUUGUAAUCGGAAUGAGUACAAUUUAAAUCCCUUAACGAGGAACAAUUGGAGGGCAAGUCUGGUGCCAGCAGCCGCGGUAAUUCCAGCUCCAAUAGCGUAUAUUAAAGUUGUUGUGGUUAAAAAGCUCGUAGUUGAACCUUGGGCCUGGCUGGCCGGUCCGCCUCACCGCGUGCACUGGUCCGGCCGGGCCUUUCCCUCUGCGGAACCCCAUGCCCUUCACUGGGUGUGGCGGGGAAACAGGACUUUUACUUUGAAAAAAUUAGAGUGCUCAAGGCAGGCCUAUGCUCGAAUACAUUAGCAUGGAAUAAUAGAAUAGGACGUGUGGUUCUAUUUUGUUGGUUUCUAGGACCGCCGUAAUGAUUAAUAGGGACAGUCGGGGGCAUCAGUAUUCAAUUGUCAGAGGUGAAAUUCUUGGAUUUAUUGAAGACUAACUACUGCGAAAGCAUUUGCCAAGGAUGUUUUCAUUAAUCAGGAACGAAAGUUAGGGGAUCGAAGACGAUCAGAUACCGUCGUAGUCUUAACCAUAAACUAUGCCGACUAGGGAUCGGACGAUGUUACAUUUUUGACGCGUUCGGCACCUUACGAGAAAUCAAAGUGCUUGGGCUC